Molecule: ribosomal RNA, 235 nt
Filed under: uncultured bacterium
Lineage: Bacteria
Description: partial 16S ribosomal RNA
Rfam family: Bacterial small subunit ribosomal RNA
Source: RNAcentral
GGCGGACGGGUGAGUAAUGUAUAGUUAAUCUGCCCUUUAGAGGGGGAUAACAGUUGGAAACGACUGCUAAUACCCCAUACUCCUUUUAUCUUAAUGAUAAUUGGGAAACGUUUUUUCGCUAAAGGAUGAGACUAUAUGGUAUCAGGUAGUUGGUAGGGUAAGAGCCUACCAAGCCAAUGACGCCUAGCUGGUCUGAGAGGAUGAGCAGCCACACUGGAACUGAGACACGGUCCAG